RNAcentral lists this long non-coding RNA (1457 nucleotides) under Serinus canaria (Common canary). Its description in RNAcentral is "lncRNA (ENSSCAG00000002964.1)". The record is from RNAcentral. Lineage: Eukaryota; Metazoa; Chordata; Aves; Passeriformes; Fringillidae.
CUUAGCUUGCCAAGGGGCUCUGGCUGGUCGUGGUUAUCAGGAGAGCAGGCUGGAGAAAGAGAGAAGGCAGCUUCCACUGUGGUGUUCCACAGUGUUUUAUUUUGAGGGAUUUGCGAAGGGUCUGAUGGCAGCUCUUCUAACAAAAUGGGCCAAGACAGCCCCUUUUAUAGGGUUAGGGGGGCUUGGAAACUGACCAGUUGUAAGGGUUAGGGAAACUAGCCUGUGGGGUCACAAAAAGAUAAACAGGCCUGGAGGACCGGAGUGAAGACUUCUGGUUCAAUUCCUAUGACUUGACAUUUCCUUAUCUCUAAACCAUUGUUCUCCACGGGGCUGUAGCUGGCCCUGUGUCUGCUACACCCAUGGUCUGUUGAUGGUCUUUCUCUUCCCCUAGACGUGGUGAAGCUGCCGUCCAGAAGGCGCAGGUCAGCCCUUGCCACAUGCUCUCCAUCUUCACCAGAGCCACCAGAGCCCAGCGUUGGUGGGAACACCCCCAGCAUACUGCUGUCACCGGUGCUGCAGUGUACUAAGGACGAGCCAGAAAGUCCUGGUGGGGAACACAUUGCUGGAGUGCCACCCACACCCCCUGCCAUGCCACGUAAGGCUUUCCUUGCCCUGCUCAGCCCAGUAAACCCCCUCAGCCCCACAAGCAGGGUCUGAUAUGGUUCUCAUUGCAGACACCAGUUGCUGCGUCUCUCCUCUCUCCCUCCUGGGUGAGUACCAUGCCCCAGUUAUCAUUCUUGUGUGCCCUGGCACAAGAGGUGGCUGCAGCUCACAGGCUGCGUCUGCUCUCCUUCCAGGCUGUCACGCUGACCUGAAGCAGGAAGGAGCUGAGGGAAAGGCCAAUUUUUCUGGUGAGACAUCCCUGGGGACGGGAAGAGGAAGCCAAGUGCUGCCACUGGCUGCUGCAGCCACAGGCUCCCACGGGACAGCAGUCAUGAGUGAGCAGCCAGCAGCAGCUGAAGAUGCAUCAGACGCAAGUCUGCAUGGGUCUGGCAUGGCAGGCUUGCUCCAGAAUGUCCAGCAACUGCUGGUGCAGAUCCUGCAGACAUCGUGGCAGCAGCAGGCACUACUGGAGAGCCUGGCCAGAGACACCGUCUCCCACCUCCACCUCCUCUCCCACAGCCUUGUGCAGAUGGGCGAGACCCUGCAACAACUCCUGCUCCAGCCACAGACCUAUCCUCACCCCCUUGGCCACUGUGUCCCCCACAUGCCCCUUUUUGAGGGUGGCUCCAGAGUGCCCUGCUCCCCUGGUACUCCUCACACUUCCCUGGAUCACAAAGAGGAGCCUCAGCUGUCCUCUGAUGCCAGGUGCAUCUCCCCCUGAGUGGCACCAUCGCUGGCCCCAGGAGGAACAGCUUUGGUACAGAGCCAUGGCACAAAUCUUUAUAUCAGAGGUUCCAGAUAUUUUGAAAGUUUAUACUAGAGAGACAUUUAAUAAAAUUAAAAAUAGCUUUUCU